RNAcentral lists this small nuclear RNA (274 nucleotides) under Aotus nancymaae (Ma's night monkey). Its description in RNAcentral is "7SK RNA (ENSANAG00000005470.1)". It matches the Rfam family "7SK RNA", at positions 1 to 295 of the family's 331-position model. Rfam says of the family: 7SK was discovered as an abundant small nuclear RNA in the mid-70s but a possible function has only recently been suggested. Two independent studies have found that 7SK RNA binds the CDK9/cyclin T complex (known as elongation factor P-TEFb). P-TEFb activates transcription by phosphorylating the C-terminal domain of RNA polymerase II. The record is from RNAcentral. Lineage: Eukaryota; Metazoa; Chordata; Mammalia; Primates; Aotidae.
GGAUAUGAAGGCAAUCUGGCUGCAACAUCUGUCAUCCUAUUAAUUGCCAGCAUUGAUGCAGUGAAUCUGGCUGGCUAGGAGGGUGUCCCCUUCCUUUCUCACUGCUCCAUGUGUGCUCCUCCCAAAGCUGUGUGCUAAGUAAAAGAGGAUGACCAUCGCUGAUGGAGGAGGACCCAUCUUCAAUAAGGUUAUAUGAGUAGCUGGGCUCCCCUGCUAGAACCUCCAAACAAGCUCUCAAGUAGAGAAAAAAUCAACCACAUAAUAUUAUUCUUCA